GCCAGCAGCCAUAUAACCCUGCAGCUAAAAACUGGCAACCCAUUGAAUUAAAGCGGGUGUGAGCCUGGUCAGUACCUGGAUGGGAGACCUCCUGGGGAAAACUAAGGUUGCUGCUGGAA
Molecule: ribosomal RNA, 119 nt
Filed under: Lepisosteus oculatus (spotted gar)
Lineage: Eukaryota; Metazoa; Chordata; Actinopteri; Semionotiformes; Lepisosteidae
Source: RNAcentral